CUGAAGAACCCCGGGCCCCACUCUGCUCCUGAGGAUCUGCCCUUCCCAUCAGAGCACCACCAGGUGUGGACUAUGAAAGCUUUCUGGAAACCCAUAUGAGAGCCCUUUCUCCCUAAGAAUGGAAAAGUGGAAGGUUUACAAAGCCUGAAUCACUCUGUAAAUGUCACGUGCCAGUGGUACCAUCAGAAUAAUGGUCACCGUCGUAUCUCUAGGUACGAAGUGAUCUGCUGGAUGUGGUUGAGAAGUAACUGUAUCAGAGAUUCUCUUCGAAACGAGGUCUUACGGUUGGUCUUCUGAUAAUACCCGUAACAGGAAUGAACAUUGAUAGAAGGCUUACCAUGUUCCUGACACCGUUCUAAGUUCCUUAGAACUUACUCAUUAAAGGUUCACCUCCUUAAGUCCUCUGACUUCCUUCUUAAAGUUUGACAUGACACCUAGCUAAGAUUCAAGGGUCUUUGGGUUCAAAUCCUGACGCUUCCACCUCCUAUUCUUGUAACAUUUCUGAACCUCAACUUCCUCAUCUAUAAAGUGAGCAUACUUUCUUCCCAGAAGUAAAUGAAAUAAUAUAGAUUAGAAGGCACCUGAUACAUAACAAGCUUACAAUGUAUGUUCAUUACCUUGAUAUUUUUUUUAAAUGUUUCUAUUUUCUAAUAAUUUAAGACAGAAGACUAAAUAAAGUGUUUUAAAGAUAUAAA
Felis catus (domestic cat) is the source of this 695-nucleotide long non-coding RNA. RefSeq lists it as uncharacterized. The transcript is spliced from 2 exons. NCBI's taxonomy places the organism in Eukaryota, Metazoa, Chordata, Mammalia, Carnivora, Felidae. The record is from RefSeq and is a predicted model, not a curated record.